Molecule: ribosomal RNA, 497 nt
Filed under: uncultured bacterium
Lineage: Bacteria
Description: partial 16S ribosomal RNA
Rfam family: Bacterial small subunit ribosomal RNA
Source: RNAcentral
GAUGAACGCUGGCGGCGUGCCUAAUACAUGCAAGUCGAGCGAACAGACGAGGAGCUUGCUCCUCUGACGUAAGCGGCGGACGGGUGAGUAACACGUGGAUAACCUACCUAUAAGACUGGGAUAACUUCGGGAAACCGGAGCUAAUACCGGAUAAUAUAUUGAACCGCAUGGUUCAAUAGUGAAAGACGGUUUUGCUGUCACUUAUAGAUGGAUCCGCGCCGCAUUAGCUAGUUGGUAAGGUAACGGCUUACCAAGGCGACGAUGCGUAGCCGACCUGAGAGGGUGAUCGGCCACACUGGAACUGAGACACGGUCCAGACUCCUACGGGAGGCAGCAGUAGGGAAUCUUCCGCAAUGGGGGAAAGCCUGACGGAGCAACGCCGCGUGAGUGAUGAAGGUCUUCGGAUCGUAAAACUCUGUUAUUAGGGAAGAACAAAUGUGUAAGUAACUAUGCACGUCUUGACGGUACCUAAUCAGAAAGCCACGGCUAACUACGUG